This 235-nucleotide ribosomal RNA is filed under the name uncultured bacterium. Its description in RNAcentral is "partial 16S ribosomal RNA". It matches the Rfam family "Bacterial small subunit ribosomal RNA", at positions 99 to 334 of the family's 1533-position model. The record is from RNAcentral.
CGGACGGGUGAGUAACGCGUGGGUAACCUGCCUUGUACUGGGGGACAACAGUUGGAAACGACUGCUAAUACCGCAUAAGCGCACAGCUUCGCAUGAAGCAGUGUGAAAAACUCCGGUGGUACAAGAUGGACCCGCGUCUGAUUAGCUGGUUGGUGGGGUAACGGCCCACCAAGGCGACGAUCAGUAGCCGGCCUGAGAGGGUGAACGGCCACAUUGGGACUGAGACACGGCCCAA